RNAcentral lists this transfer RNA (67 nucleotides) under Kiwa tyleri. Its description in RNAcentral is "tRNA-Asp". Lineage: Eukaryota; Metazoa; Arthropoda; Malacostraca; Decapoda; Kiwaidae. The record is from RNAcentral.
UAAAAGUUAGUUAAUUAUUAUAACAUAAGUUUGUCACUCUUAAAUAAUCUUUUUAAGAUACUUUUAA